Molecule: ribosomal RNA, 255 nt
Filed under: uncultured bacterium
Lineage: Bacteria
Description: partial 16S ribosomal RNA
Rfam family: Bacterial small subunit ribosomal RNA
Source: RNAcentral
GACGUAGGGCGCGAGCGUUUGUCCGGAUUUAUUGGGCGUAAAGAGCUCGUAGGCGGCUUGUCGCGUCGACUGUGAAAUCCCGCGGCUCAACUGCGGGUCUGCAGUCGAUACGGGCAGGCUAGAGUUCGGUAGGGGAGAUCGGAAUUCCUGGUGUAGCGGUGAAAUGACGCAGAUAUCAGGAGGAACACCGGUGGCGAAGGCGGAUCUCUGGGCAUUACCUGACGCUGAGGAGCGAAAGUGUGGGGAGCGAACAGG